RNAcentral lists this transfer-messenger RNA (343 nucleotides) under human gut metagenome. It matches the Rfam family "transfer-messenger RNA". From Rfam's summary of the family: Bacterial tmRNA, also known as 10Sa RNA or SsrA, is named for its dual tRNA and mRNA-like properties. Its role is to liberate the mRNA from a stalled ribosome. The record is from RNAcentral.
GGGGACGCACUGGUUUCGACAGGAGCUGCUGUGUCAUAAGAAGCGAGCUGGGAUUCCAUCUACCCCAUGAAACGGUGGACAAAAAUAAACGCAAAACGUGAUUUUGCUUUAGCAGCUUGAUCUGCUAAUGUCUCUCCGAAGUUCUCCUGCGGCUCCGGACAGGCACCAUCCAGCAGGAUACCAACGAGCGACGUCCGGUAACUCGGCGGGAACCGCACCGGAAUGGGUGAAGGUAGUUUGUUCCUGAACGGUACUUCAUCGACAUCUCAAUCAGGAACUGCGCUCGGAGAGGCUUGUGGGACAGGCUUUUUGGACAGGGGUUCGAUUCCCCUCGUCUCCACCA